This 70-nucleotide transfer RNA is filed under the name Anolis uniformis. RNAcentral describes it as "tRNA-Ala". Lineage: Eukaryota; Metazoa; Chordata; Lepidosauria; Squamata; Anolidae. The record is from RNAcentral.
UAAGACUUAUGAGAAACUUAACCACAUCUCCUGAAUGCAACCCAGGCACUUUUAUUAAGCUAAAGCCUCC